GAUGAUGAUAAUGAUGAUGAUGAUGAUGAUGUAUUUAGUAAUGUGUGUUAGAGCGUGUUUAUGGUCCAGCCGUAGGAAUUUAUUUAAUUUCAAGUAUUUAAAUGCAAAUCCAGUAUUUCGUAUGUGCUCAAAUAUGUGUGUGGGUGCGUUGGUUUGAAGACAUGGCGCGAGCGAGCUAGCCAAUCACAGCGCUCGUGAACGGGGAGACUGGAUGGCAGCAUCGUUUCCAGACUGGAAAUGGGUAGUCCUGAGCAGGGCGGCAGUUCUGAGGGUCGACACAGCACACAGGAAGGACUUGGACAGUAGAGGAGUUUGCGGGUGGUCGCGGAGGAAUAGAAAUAUUUCGGAGUGCCGACCUGUGCUCUUGUGUGAUUUCCGUGGCUUCUGCAGUGAAGUCGUAGUCUGCGUUCAGAAGUGAAUAUCUCGUGAUCUAUGUUGUUGUUCAUAACCAACUACGUGAAGUACGAAUCUAUUGUUUCCCUGUUAUUCAAAUUAUAUUUUAUUUAAUUGCUGGACCAUCGACACCAAUAAGUUUUUUGCAGAAAUGUACGGCAGUCUCAAAAGUACUUCUGCUAUCGUACUCAUCAUUUAAAGUCGUUAAAAUAGUACCUGCAAAUUUUAUUUAAUCGCAAUCUUUCGUUUAUAAAUGUGUAUGUCACGUUCAAAAUUUGCAAUUGCCGAGUGAUAGCAACCUUCGACCAUUCGAUUCAUGUGCAUAUUCAUAUUGUAUACUGUAGACUCAGCAGUAUUUGGCUUGUAAAGCGGCAACUACGUAUCCCAGCCACUAGACAUUGAAACUAGCCGACUGAUGGUUUCAGUAGUUAAGUCGCAUAGUGCUCAGAGCCAAAACUGUCAAUAUUACAACACUGAGUCGGAGGUUACGUAGUUGAGGGCCACCUACACCACAUCAUCUCAUUCUUUUAUGAAAGCCCGCACAGUAAGCGUAGAUACAUCAGUUUCUGUCGUAUAACAGUGUUUAUUUAGAAGGUACUUUGUUAUUAUAAUGAAGGUGGUGUGAUCUAGGUGAUACAGGAAUUUGAAAAAAACAAUGGACACGUAAUUAAAAAUGAGAUGCUUUAUUGUCAAUUCAGAAACUUCCUCGACAACCGACGAAUUCCCAGAAGUAUUUAUGGGAAAGCUUAAAUAUCGAACGCAACAAACGAAAUAGCAAUUUUUCUUCCAGGGUUAGUAAACAGUCUUGUCAAAGUAAUGAAGUGAUGAUAUUUAGUUUUCCCAAGUCAGAUGCCAGUUCAUAACUGAUACACAACUGAGAACUUUCACUCGA
This is a long non-coding RNA of Schistocerca cancellata (South American locust), 1285 nucleotides long. RefSeq lists it as uncharacterized. The record is from RefSeq and is a predicted model, not a curated record. The transcript has 2 exons. Lineage: Eukaryota; Metazoa; Arthropoda; Insecta; Orthoptera; Acrididae.